RNAcentral lists this ribosomal RNA (162 nucleotides) under uncultured Bacillus sp. RNAcentral describes it as "partial 16S ribosomal RNA". It matches the Rfam family "Bacterial small subunit ribosomal RNA", at positions 374 to 528 of the family's 1533-position model. The record is from RNAcentral. Lineage: Bacteria; Bacillati; Bacillota; Bacilli; Caryophanales; Bacillaceae.
GAGGAGAAGCUGACGGAGCACGCCGCGUGAGCGAUGAAGGCUUUCGGGUCGUAAAGCUCUGUUGUCAGGGAAGAACAAGUACCGGAGUUAACUGCCGGUACCUUGACGGUACCUGACCAGAAAGCCACGGCUAACUACGUGCCAGCAGCCGCGGUAAUACGA